UUGAUAGAAGCCAAAAAGAGGUAUAUCACUGUUAAUGAUAUUAUUGAAUAUUAUUUCCUAUCAAU
RNAcentral lists this transfer RNA (65 nucleotides) under Sinolapotamon patellifer. RNAcentral's name for it is "tRNA-Asn". The record is from RNAcentral. RNAcentral also lists the same sequence under 1 other name. Lineage: Eukaryota; Metazoa; Arthropoda; Malacostraca; Decapoda; Potamidae.